RNAcentral lists this ribosomal RNA (252 nucleotides) under uncultured bacterium. RNAcentral's name for it is "partial 16S ribosomal RNA". It matches the Rfam family "Bacterial small subunit ribosomal RNA", at positions 526 to 779 of the family's 1533-position model. The record is from RNAcentral.
CGGAGGAUGCAAGCGUUAUCCGGAAUGAUUGGGCGUAAAGCGUCCGCAGGUGGCAGUUCAAGUCUGCUGUCAAAGACCGGGGCUUAACUUCGGAAAGGCAGUGGAAACUGAACAGCUAGAGUAUGGUAGGGGCAGAGGGAAUUCCUGGUGUAGCGGUGAAAUGCGUAGAGAUCAGGAAGAACAUCGGUGGCGAAGGCGCUCUGCUGGACCAUAACUGACACUCAGGACGAAAGCUAGGGAGCGAAUGGGAUU